CCUACGGGAGGCAGCAGUGAGGAAUAUUGGACAAUGGGCGCAAGCCUGAUCCAGCCAUGCCGCGUGCAGGAAGAAGCAUCUAUGGUGUGUAAACUGCUUUUGUACAGGAAGAAACACUCCCUCGUGAGGGAGCUUGACGGUACUGUAAGAAUAAGGACCGGCUAACUCCGUGCCAGCAGCCGCGGUAAUACGGAGGGUCCGAGCGUUAUCCGGAAUCAUUGGGUUUAAAGGGUCCGUAGGCGGUUUAAUAAGUCAGUGGUGAAAUCUGGUCGCUCAACGAUCAAACGGCCAUUGAUACUGUUAGACUUGAAUUAUAAGGAAGUAACUAGAAUAUGUAGUGUAGCGGUGAAAUGCUUAGAUAUUACAUGGAAUACCAAUUGCGAAGGCAGGUUACUACUUAUGGAUUGACGCUGAUGGACGAAAGCGUGGGGAGCGAACAGGAUUAGAUACCCUGGUAGUCCACGCCGUAAACGAUGGAUACUAGCUGUUCGGAGCAAUCUGAGUGNGUAGAGAAGUAGAGUAAGUAUACCACCGUACGGGUAGGUACGGUUACGUCGAGAAGUAGAACGUACGAAGAAGUUAGUACGGACGUGAGACGUAGACGACGGACGACGACGAGGGAGGAGG
RNAcentral lists this ribosomal RNA (627 nucleotides) under uncultured bacterium. RNAcentral describes it as "bacterial SSU rRNA". The stretch from base 1 to 533 matches the Rfam family "Bacterial small subunit ribosomal RNA", at positions 338 to 873 of the family's 1533-position model. The record is from RNAcentral.